GCCAAGGCAGAGGAAGGGCAUGGCGAGGAAGAUGAGCAAGGCCACGAAGAGCUUCCAGACGAUGGUGCUCCCGCGCCAGCCAGCCAGGUUCCCGCACCAGAUGGAGGACAGGACUUGCUGGCAGAUGGGGCCAGGCGGCUCAGAAGAGGGGCCACCCCCUUGCCGUGCGACCUUGGUCAGGCCCCACCCCUCUUGGGGCCUUGGGUUCCUGGUCUGUGAUGAGACACUCAACUCCCAGAUGCUCCUGGGCUCUCGGAGGCUACGUGCGUGUCUCUAAGUCAGGCAGUGACCCUGAUGGGAACUCCAAGACAUCACUUGAAACGUCAGCCCUUGAGGGAGCCGGUCUGCUCUUGCUGGACAGAGGGAGACACGGAUGUCUGACAACAGGAGGCGAUUAGACCACAGCUCUACGCAGGCCGCAGGCAGAGCUGAGCGUGAGACCCAGACGUCUGGUCUGAAGGGGGUCAGGGCGGGGAGUAACGGGCCCUCCUAGAGCUGGGAAGAGAUUGGGGCCUUAGACUCAGCCCCCCUCGAUGUCCUAGCCUGCCCCAAGCUUCGCCAAGAGCCUUCCUUUACCAUGGCUCCCCAGCCCCAACCCGCUGUCCCUGCCCCCCCCACCUCAGGACCACGCAGGCUGGGGCCCACGGGGGCCCCACAGGAUCACGGGGCUACACGGGAGGCUGCUCCUCAUUGAGAUCCGAGCAGGUCCUGAGGCAG
Sus scrofa (pig) is the source of this 717-nucleotide non-coding RNA. The record is from RefSeq and is a predicted model, not a curated record. NCBI's taxonomy places the organism in Eukaryota, Metazoa, Chordata, Mammalia, Artiodactyla, Suidae.